Non-coding RNA from Myodes glareolus (Bank vole), 613 nucleotides. The record is from RefSeq and is a predicted model, not a curated record. Lineage: Eukaryota; Metazoa; Chordata; Mammalia; Rodentia; Cricetidae.
GAUCACCGAAGCAGCAGGAUGUGAGCUGCCCCACUGAAAAAGGGGAGCAUUGCUAGGUGAAUGUUCACUCAGGCUGCUGUGCCAGUGGAGUAUGCAAAAACGGGGGUACCUGUGUGAACCUGCUUAUCGGAGGCUUUCACUGUGUGUGCCCUCCUGGCGACUAAGAGCAUCCCUACUGCGAAGUCAGCACCAGGAGCUUCCCACCCCAGUCCUUUGUCACCUUCCGAGGCUUGUGGCAGCGCUUUCACUUCACCGUCUCCCUUUUGUUUGCCACCCAAGACAGGAAUGCCCUGCUGCUGUACAAUGGCCACUUCAACGAGAAGCAUGACUUCAUUGCCCUGGAGAUUGUGGAGGAACAGCUGCAGCUCACGUUCUCGGCAGGAAUCUACCCUCUAGAAGAAAUCAGAGUACAAGAAAAUGACGUUGUUGCAGUGGGGAUAGAGAGAUGGCUAGUUCCGCGGUUAAGAGCACUUGCUGUUCCUGCAGAGGACCCCGGCUCUGUUCCUACCACCUACGUGGCAGCAUACAACUGUUCAUAACUCCGGUUCCAGGGUAUCCAAUGUCCCUUUCUGUCUUCUGAGUGUACCUGGCACGCAUAUGGUGCACAUGGAAG